This 72-nucleotide transfer RNA is filed under the name Cavia porcellus (domestic guinea pig). It matches the Rfam family "tRNA". Rfam says of the family: Transfer RNA (tRNA) molecules are approximately 80 nucleotides in length. Their secondary structure includes four short double-helical elements and three loops (D, anti-codon, and T loops). The record is from Rfam by way of RNAcentral. Lineage: Eukaryota; Metazoa; Chordata; Mammalia; Rodentia; Caviidae.
GAGGAUGUAGCUCAGUAGCACAGUGCCUGCCUGGGAAGCUCAAGGUCCUGAGUUAGAUUCCCAGUACCCUCC